RNAcentral lists this long non-coding RNA (208 nucleotides) under Theobroma cacao (cacao). RNAcentral describes it as "long non-coding RNA (TCAC_LNC004520)". Lineage: Eukaryota; Viridiplantae; Streptophyta; Magnoliopsida; Malvales; Malvaceae. The record is from RNAcentral.
GGCCGAGGCAUCCUACCGAGACCGCCAAGGCUAUUAAAAUUCACAUUUCACAUAAAUCAUGUUUUUGUUUUGAAAACAUAGUCGUUCCUUGGCGUUGGCUGAGUUCCCCCUCACGUGGUGGUUUAGCGUGAAGUGAACCCUAAACUUUACUCCAGGAGAUACCCUACGCGCCUCUCCGUUCGAGGUAAGAAUAUAAUGGGAUUUACCG